CAGCAACUUCUUGGUGCUUACCCAGGACAACUGAUGGAGUGAGCGAGACCUGAUCUGGUCCUGAUAUGCCUUGGUUUUCCAUGUUUUUGAAUCAACAGUGGCAGAUAAAUUCUUGAUAUGCCUUAACGAUAAUCCUUCUUUCAAAUGGUGGAGGAAAUAACAAGGAAAACUAAUAUUUUAGACCUGAUUCUGGAAGAAAAGAGAGAACUUGUUGCUGGAAUAGAUAGUUGGGAACCUUGACAUCAAGAAGCUAUUACAUCUUAGUGAAGUAAAGUUAGGCAUAGUCAGAUGUGAAUCAUAGAUUUUGGAGGAGCAGAUUUCAAAAGGUUCAGAGAAAGGCUAGGUAGUAUGUAUGGCUUAAUAUUCUUUUCAGAGGAAAUUGGACCAGUAGGCAUGAAAAACUGUGAAAAAUGAUAUUCUGAAGAUAUAAGAAGAAAUUACUCCAAAGUGGUGGAAAAGAAAGGACCAGCCUAAGGAGCCCAAUGUGACUGCACAGGGAACUUAUUGACCAAUUUAGAUUUUAAGAAGAUGUACACAGAAGAUGGGAGUGCUCCUUCAUUCUGUAUUGUCUGGUGUAUAUCCUCCUAUGUAUACCUUCUCUGAUUUCUGUUUUACUAUUGAUUUGAAUAAAUGAGUUUUCUUUGUUAA
This is a long non-coding RNA of Phascolarctos cinereus (koala), 648 nucleotides long. RefSeq lists it as uncharacterized. The record is from RefSeq and is a predicted model, not a curated record. NCBI's taxonomy places the organism in Eukaryota, Metazoa, Chordata, Mammalia, Diprotodontia, Phascolarctidae.